Molecule: transfer RNA, 76 nt
Filed under: bacterium
Lineage: Bacteria
Also listed under: 1 other name
Description: tRNA-Lys
Rfam family: tRNA
About the family: Transfer RNA (tRNA) molecules are approximately 80 nucleotides in length. Their secondary structure includes four short double-helical elements and three loops (D, anti-codon, and T loops). Further hydrogen bonds mediate the characteristic L-shaped molecular structure. tRNAs have two regions of fundamental functional importance: the anti-codon, which is responsible for specific mRNA codon recognition, and the 3' end, to which the tRNAs corresponding amino acid is attached (by aminoacyl-tRNA synthetases). tRNAs cope with the degeneracy of the genetic code in two manners: having more than one tRNA (with a specific anti-codon) for a particular amino acid; and 'wobble' base-pairing, i.e. permitting non-standard base-pairing at the 3rd anti-codon position.
Source: RNAcentral
GGGCCGUUAGCUCAGUUGGCAGAGCAUCGGACUUUUAAUCCGAGGGUCGCAGGUUCGAAUCCCGCACGGCUCACCA